AUAAAUGCAUUGAUGGGAAGAGUAAUAAAUGGACGCAUGCAAAGAGAGCUGAUGUAUGGUGAAAUUCAGUGGUGUAAAAGUUUAUGAACAUGGACCCGGAGCAGAAUAUCUGAAAUUUAGUAGGGUAUUACGUAAGCAUACGUUAAAAUGCAGGGUGAUAAAAUAAAUUAUGAAUUUAUGAGUCACUUAGUGAGAUUUUUGUCGUGAGAUAAAAAUAAAAUAGAGUGGUAACGCGUGAAUUCGCCUCUAAA
This 251-nucleotide non-coding RNA is filed under the name Clostridium sp. RNAcentral's name for it is "T-box sequence". It matches the Rfam family "T-box leader". From Rfam's summary of the family: Uncharged tRNA acts as the effector for transcription antitermination of genes in the T-box leader family. Lineage: Bacteria; Bacillati; Bacillota; Clostridia; Eubacteriales; Clostridiaceae. The record is from RNAcentral.